UACGUAGGGGCGAGCGUUGUCCGGAUUUACUGGGCGUAAAGGGUGAGUAGGCGGUUAUAUAUGUCAGGUGUAAAAGGCUAUGGCUUAACCAUGGUUAGCACUUGAAACUGUAUGACUUGAGUGCAGGAGAGGUAAGUGGAAUUCCUAGUGUAGCGGUGAAAUGCGUAGAUAUUAGGAGGAACACCAGUGGCGAAGGCGACUUACUGGACUGUAACUGACGCUGAGUCACGAAAGCGUGGGUAGCAAACAGGAUUAGAUACCCCCGUAGUCCCU
Molecule: ribosomal RNA, 273 nt
Filed under: uncultured prokaryote
Description: partial 16S ribosomal RNA
Rfam family: Bacterial small subunit ribosomal RNA
Source: RNAcentral